CGAGCCGGGCGGACGGCCGCGUGGAGGUCCCUGUGGAUCUCCCCGAGGAACGUCCGGGCUCCACAGGGCAGGGUGGUGGCUAACGGCCACCCGGGGUGACCCGCGGGACAGUGCCACAGAAAGCAAACCGCCGAGAGCUCCGGCUUUCGGUAAGGGUGAAACGGUGGUGUAAGAGACCACCAGCGCCUGAGGUGACUCAGGCGGCUAGGUAAACCCCACCCGGAGCAAGGUCAAGAGGAGCCGCUUGGCGACAGGCGGCUCUGCGCGGACGUUCGAGGGCUGCUCGCCCGAGUCCGCGGGUAGACCGCACGAGGCCGGCGGCAACGCCGGCCCUAGAUGGAUGGCCGUCGCCGGAGGGUUCGCAAGACCCCUCCGGAACAGAACCCGGCGUAUAGCCCUGCUCGUCUG
RNAcentral lists this RNase P RNA (408 nucleotides) under Streptomyces sporangiiformans. RNAcentral describes it as "Bacterial RNase P class A". It matches the Rfam family "Bacterial RNase P class A". From Rfam's summary of the family: Ribonuclease P (RNase P) is a ubiquitous endoribonuclease, found in archaea, bacteria and eukarya as well as chloroplasts and mitochondria. The record is from Rfam by way of RNAcentral. Lineage: Bacteria; Bacillati; Actinomycetota; Actinomycetes; Kitasatosporales; Streptomycetaceae.